UUGCUUAAAUUGCCCGGCAAGGAAGAUUGGGAUAUUCGGAUAUUAUUAAUGGAUAAGGAGAGAUAGUUUCGCAUAUAACCAUCAGGCUAGGAGUUUGUGUAUAAAUUUGUAUCCGAUAUGAGUGGUGGUGGUGUGGUACUUGCUUGAAAAUGGAGAUUAAUGACAUUUUGUUCGUAGGUGGAUGGAAUGAUUGUUCUGGAAAUUUGCUAUACGUAUACAACGACUACUCGUAUCGUGCAUGAUAGGAGGUGGAAAGGAAUUGAGAGGCUGUUAAAUGAUGUUGGACAAAAUGGAAAUGUGAUUCAGAAACAGGAAAGGUGCUGUGAGGAUGGGAGUUUCGGGGAUUUCCUGUCUGCACGUCUAUCUUUGUUCGAUGGCCGGUCCAGCAGAUUAUUGAAGACGCCCAACAUAAGCACCGUAGCAGUGAAUGCGUUGAAACUGGGUCCAAUUUAUCGUUGGAUGAAUUGGUAUGAUUAGGGUUAAACUACUAACUACUACUGUUCCUAUUAUAUUAUACUAAUACGUACGGUAGGGAUUAAUUCACAAUUUUUCACUAUUUGUGUCAUACUUGUUAACAUUUUACUUUAACUGAUUAUUGUUGCGGAGUUAACUACUGUGCAGAUUGGAGAUUUUGGUUUGCUGUAUCGAAAUCAUGAGCCAUUAAGAGGUAAUUAUUUAUUUGAAAAUAAUUCAAUGUUUUCAUGCCAUUUUGUUACUGUUUUCCCAGUCUACGACUUGGAUCAUUUUCAAUCAGAUGGUCACAGUCCAGCGAUAUUUAAAACAGGCAUUUCUUUCUCUGAUGAAGGGAAAAUUGCAAUGAUUGAUAAUAAUUUUCAUAUAGUCCGACGGAUUGUUGGGCGACUUUUAGUGGCUUAAUCAUCGCCAAUUAGGCUAUUGGAGGCAUCAACGCACAAGUUGCACUAUUCUCGGGGCCAAAAAUACGUUGAUGGAAAUAUGACCGUCUAGCUCUAGUAGCCCGAAUUGGGACAUUGAAUGACAUUCAAGUUAUCGCACUUCUUCCCAGCCCGUCAUCUUUAUGACAGUCGGUGUGUUGUGCGAGAUAUUGUAGAGACUAACCAAUUUUUUGUUUUUUACUAUCUAAAUUAAUUUAAAGGGCCCGUAUAUAAAUAAGGUAAUUAUCGGGAAUUAAGGAGGGAGAAGAAAAAAAAAACGAUUUCUUUGAACUUAUUCGCUUACGCUUAAAAGUUAGAGCCUGUUCUGCAAAAGCCGUUUAAAAAAUUAAGAAGUUUUUUUUAGAAUAAUGCAUGUGAAAAUGUUGUGCAGUCAAUAGUUGUAAAAUGUGUGAAAUUUAUGGUUGUUUUUCCAAUCGACAUCCCGUGGCUGGCCGUUGGUUAGCAACGUUAGUUCUUAUUACUAAUUCAUAAUUAACUUUCACGGAGCUAAUGACAGGUU
This is a long non-coding RNA of Daphnia carinata, 1413 nucleotides long. RefSeq lists it as uncharacterized. The record is from RefSeq and is a predicted model, not a curated record. The transcript has 4 exons. Lineage: Eukaryota; Metazoa; Arthropoda; Branchiopoda; Diplostraca; Daphniidae.